CCUAAGGAGAAAAACAAAACAAAACCCUAGGGAUAACAGCACAAUCCCAUUCAAGAGUCCAUAUCGACAAUUAGGGUUUACGACCUCGAUGUUGGAUCAGGACAUCCCAAUGGUGUAGCAGCUAUUAAAAGUUCGUUUGUUCAACGAUUAAAGUCCUACGUGAUCUGAGUUCAGACCAGAGUAAUCCAGGUCGGU
Molecule: non-coding RNA, 195 nt
Filed under: Mesocricetus auratus (golden hamster)
Lineage: Eukaryota; Metazoa; Chordata; Mammalia; Rodentia; Cricetidae
Description: Bacterial large subunit ribosomal RNA
Rfam family: Bacterial large subunit ribosomal RNA
Source: Rfam by way of RNAcentral